Molecule: ribosomal RNA, 591 nt
Filed under: uncultured archaeon
Lineage: Archaea
Description: bacterial SSU rRNA
Rfam family: Archaeal small subunit ribosomal RNA
Source: RNAcentral
GGAUAACCUACCCUUAGGACUGGGAUAACCCUGGGAAACUGGGGAUAAUACUAGAUAGGCAAUUUUUCCUGGAAUGGUUUUUUGUUUAAAUGUUUUUUCGCCUAAGGAUGGGUCUGCGGCCGAUUAGGUAGUUGGUUAGGUAACGGCUUACCAAGCCAUUGAUCGGUACGGGUUGUGAGAGCAAGAGCCCGGAGAUGGAACCUGAGACAAGGUUCCAGGCCCUACGGGGUGCAGCAGGCGCGAAACCUCCGCAAUGUGAGAAAUCGCGACGGGGGGAUCCCAAGUGCCAUUCUUAACGGGAUGGCUUUUCAUUAGUGUAAAGAGCUUUUGGAAUAAGGGCUGGGCAAGACCGGUGCCAGCCGCCGCGGUAACACCGGCAGCUCUAGUGGUAGCAGUUUUUAUUGGGCCUAAAGCGUCCGUAGCCGGUUUAAUAAGUCUCUGGUGAAAUCCUGUAGCUUAACUGUGGGAAUUGCUGGAGAUACUAUUAGACUUGAGACCGGGAGAGGUUAGAGGUACUCCCAGGGUAGAGGUGAAAUUCUGUAAUCCUGGGAGGACCGCCUGUUGCGAAGGCGUCUAACUGGAACGGUUCUG